CCCAGGAGCCACAAGUGGCAACCACCUUUAUUGGGCCUAAAGCGUCCGUAGCCGGUUUUGUAAAUUUUCUGUGAAAUCGUUGCGCUUAACGUAACGGCGUGCAGAAAACACUGCAAGACUUGGGACCGGGAGGAGUUGGAGGUAUUCUGGGGGGAGCGGUAAAAUGCUAUAAUCCCCGGAGGACCACCUGUGGCGAAGGCGUCCAACUAGAACGGAUCCGACGGUGAGGGACGAAAGCUAGGGGAGCAAUCCGG
This 254-nucleotide ribosomal RNA is filed under the name uncultured bacterium. RNAcentral describes it as "partial 16S ribosomal RNA". It matches the Rfam family "Archaeal small subunit ribosomal RNA", at positions 474 to 727 of the family's 1478-position model. The record is from RNAcentral.